GUCCAGAGAGACGACGCGCGACUGGCCGCCGACGUCAACCCCGGCAAGCUCGACCCCAUGGACAACCACAUCUCGUUCCAGUGCGAGGACAUGGGCGCGAUGGAGAAGAGGCUGAAGGAGAUGGGGAUCAGGUACAUGAAGAGGACCAUCAACGAGGAGGAGGGUUCGCCGAUCGACCAGCUCUUCUUCAACGACCCCGACGGCUUCAUGAUCGAGAUCUGCAACUGCGAGAACCUUGAGCUCGUCCCCGCCGGCGCGCUUGGCCACCUCAGGCUCCCCCGCGACCGCCACAACCCGCCUCUCCGGAUGGAUGGCGGAGCUCGCUGA
Molecule: ribosomal RNA, 327 nt
Filed under: Triticum aestivum (bread wheat)
Lineage: Eukaryota; Viridiplantae; Streptophyta; Magnoliopsida; Poales; Poaceae
Description: partial small subunit ribosomal RNA
Source: RNAcentral